This 1188-nucleotide long non-coding RNA is filed under the name Homo sapiens (human). RNAcentral's name for it is "HSALNT0340347". The record is from RNAcentral. Lineage: Eukaryota; Metazoa; Chordata; Mammalia; Primates; Hominidae.
GGAAAAAAGCAACAGGAGUCCAUCCCAUUCUCUUGAGACAACAGGUUCACUGAUCACAGAGAAAAUUUCUUUUCCCUCAGAGUUUAGGCACCUUCAGGUCUGUGCUGUCACCAAUAUCCUUACUGCUACUGCCAUGGAGCAGGGAUUCAAGAUAACCAAAGGAAGACAAAGGUAAAGAAAAAUAAGAAGUUUUCUCCACUCUCUCUGAGCACUCAAAGAUUGUUUUUUUCACAUCUUGAGCCAGAACUAGAAGACUUCCAUUGCUCUCUCUCUUUCUAUAUCAAUACCCACUUCUGGGAUUCAGGCUUCCUUGGACCCAGGCUGGCAGAUGGAGAGCAAAAAAUGGGACAAAAUGGCAGCAGCCAGCCUGACCAUUCCCUUCCCAUCAUGAGGGAGAGGGCUGUGGUAUGGACAGCAGCAGCUGACUGGCCACAGGUGCAGCCACUGCCAUCCAGCCCCGACUCAUUCCUAGAAUAAGAACCACCAGACUGCCCUCUGACACCUGCCUCAGCGGUCCCCACCACUCCUCAAACCCUGUCACCGUCCACAGACAAGCCCUGGAGGGGUGGGGAAAAGUCUGCAAUUCUCCUUAAAAAGGAUUUCUGUCACAUGGCAAAAUGUUUUGUCAGAUAUCAGUUCUGGCCGUUGGUGACAGAGUCAUGGAAUAUAAAAAGACAUCGAGAAGAAAUAUGUGUGAUCUGGAAUCGUGACCUUACAAGUGCAUCUGCAACGUUGGCUGUGUUUGAGCAAGUGAAUCUAUAUGACUAGAAUUUUUUAAUUGAUACAUGACAUUUGUACAUAUUUAUGGGGUACCUGUGAUAUUUUGUUACAUGCAUAGAAUGUUGAAUAACCAAGUCAUGGUAUUCUGGGUAUGCAUCGCCUAGAGUAUUUACCGUUUCUAUGUGUUGGGGACAUUUCAAGUCCUCUCUCCUAGCUAUUUUGAAAUAUACAAUGCAUUGUUGUUAACUAUAGUCACACUAUUCUGCUGUCAAACAUCAGAACAUUUCUUCUAUCUAACUGUAUGUUUGUACCUAUUAACCAACCUUUCUCUUCAUCUUCCCUCAACCCACAUACCCUUGUUAGCCUCAGCUAUCUACUAUUCUAAUACCUACUUCCGUGAGAUCAACUGUUUUAGUUCCCACAAACAAGUGAGAACAUGCAGUAUUUCUCUUUCUAUGCCUGGCUUAU